RNAcentral lists this ribosomal RNA (447 nucleotides) under uncultured bacterium. Its description in RNAcentral is "bacterial SSU rRNA". It matches the Rfam family "Bacterial small subunit ribosomal RNA", at positions 355 to 825 of the family's 1533-position model. The record is from RNAcentral.
UCGGGAAUUUUGGGCAAUGGGCGAAAGCCUGACCCAGCAACGCCGCGUGAAGGAUGAAGUAUUUCGGUAUGUAAACUUCGAAAGAAUAGUAAGAAUAAAUGACGGUACUAUUUAUAAGGUCCGGCUAACUACGUGCCAGCAGCCGCGGUAAUACGUAGGGACCAAGCGUUGUUCGGAUUUACUGGGCGUAAAGGGCGCGUAGGCGGCAAUUCAAGUCAUCUGUGAAAUCUCCGGGCUUAACUCGGAACGGUCAGAUGAUACUGCUUUGCUAGAGUGCAGAAGGGGCAAUCGGAAUUCUUGGUGUAGCGGUGAAAUGCGUAAAUAUCAAGAGGAACACCUGAGGCGAAGGCGGGUUGCUGGGCUGAUACUGACGCUGAGGCGCGAAAGCUAGGGUAGCAAACGGGAUUAGAUACCCCGGUAGUCCCUGAGCGGGCUGGCAAGGCGCAU